GCCAAUGAGUGAGAUUUGGCUGUGGCAUUUGUCAUGCCAUCAUGUUUCAGGCUGACUCAGCUGAUGUGGCUACACAAUAUCUCCUUUCUUCCUCAAUACUCCAGGUGCCUCUGUUCCAAAACAGUAUGCUCAGUUGAUAAAGAUAAGUACUUCUCAUAGAAGAGGAUGGCCCUAGGUAAAGGGAAUAUGAGCAGCUGAUCUUUUAAACACAUUCCCUGUUCCCACUUCUAUGUCCCAAUCAGUUUUUCAAUUACCCUCAUUUCUAAAGUUGACUCUUCAACUGGAUGUAAAGUCUGUGUCC
This 301-nucleotide small nuclear RNA is filed under the name Microtus ochrogaster (prairie vole). RNAcentral describes it as "7SK RNA (ENSMOCG00000011124.1)". It matches the Rfam family "7SK RNA". From Rfam's summary of the family: 7SK was discovered as an abundant small nuclear RNA in the mid-70s but a possible function has only recently been suggested. Two independent studies have found that 7SK RNA binds the CDK9/cyclin T complex (known as elongation factor P-TEFb). The record is from RNAcentral. Lineage: Eukaryota; Metazoa; Chordata; Mammalia; Rodentia; Cricetidae.